GAUGUGGCGCAGUGGUUAUGCGACUGCCUGCGACGCAGAAGGUUCCGGGUUCACUUCUCGGUGGGUCA
Molecule: non-coding RNA, 68 nt
Organism: Phthorimaea operculella (potato tuberworm)
Lineage: Eukaryota; Metazoa; Arthropoda; Insecta; Lepidoptera; Gelechiidae
Source: the annotation of a GenBank genome assembly